CAGCAGUAGCCGCGGGAAUACCGAGGGUGCGAGCGUUAAUCGGAUUUACUGGGCGUAAAGCGUGCGUAGGCGGCUUUUUAAGUCGGAUGUGAAAUCCCUGAGCUUAACUUAGGAAUUGCAUUCGAUACUGGGAAGCUAGAGUAUGGGAGAGGAUGGUAGAAUUCCAGGUGUAGCGGUGAAAUGCGUAGAGAUCUGGAGGAAUACCGAUGGCGAAGGCAGCCAUCUGGCCUAAUACUGACGCUGAGGUACGAAAGCAUGGGGAGCAAACAGGAUUAGAUACCCCUGUAGUCCCUGUCUCUUAUAC
RNAcentral lists this ribosomal RNA (304 nucleotides) under uncultured bacterium. RNAcentral's name for it is "partial 16S ribosomal RNA". It matches the Rfam family "Bacterial small subunit ribosomal RNA", at positions 506 to 807 of the family's 1533-position model. The record is from RNAcentral.